This 492-nucleotide ribosomal RNA is filed under the name uncultured bacterium. Its description in RNAcentral is "partial 16S ribosomal RNA". It matches the Rfam family "Bacterial small subunit ribosomal RNA", at positions 29 to 507 of the family's 1533-position model. The record is from RNAcentral.
AUUGAACGCUGGCGGCAUGCUUUACACAUGCAAGUCGAACGGUAACAGGCCUUCGGGUGCUGACGAGUGGCGCACGGGUGAGUAAUGCAUCGGAACGUACCCAGAGGUGGGGGAUAACGCAGCGAAAGCUGUGCUAAUACCGCAUGUGAUCUGAGGAUGAAAACGGGGGACCGAGCAGCAAUGUUUGGCCUCGCGCCUUUGGAGCGGCCGAUGUCGGAUUAGCUAGUUGGUGGGGUAAAGGCCUACCAAGGCGACGAUCCGUAGCUGGUCUGAGAGGACGACCAGCCACACUGGGACUGAGACACGGCCCAGACUCCUACGGGGGGCAGCAGUGGGGAAUUUUGGACAAUGGGCGCAAGCCUGAUCCAGCAAUGCCGCGUGCGGGAAGAAGGCCUUCGGGUUGUAAACCGCUUUUGGCAGGAACGAAACGGUGUCCGCUAAUACCGGGCGCUAAUGACGGUACCUGCAGAAUAAGCACCGGCUAACUACGUG